GCUGGGCAUAGUGGCGGGUGCCUGUAAUCCCAGCUACUUGGGAGGCUGAGGCAGGAGAAUCGCUUGAACCGGGGAGGCGGAGGUUGCAGUGAGCCAAGAUUGAGCCACUGCACUCCAGCCCAGGUGACAGAGUGAGACUCCGUCUCAG
RNAcentral lists this non-coding RNA (148 nucleotides) under Gorilla gorilla gorilla (western lowland gorilla). Lineage: Eukaryota; Metazoa; Chordata; Mammalia; Primates; Hominidae. The record is from Rfam by way of RNAcentral.